This is a long non-coding RNA of Alnus glutinosa, 777 nucleotides long. RefSeq lists it as uncharacterized. NCBI's taxonomy places the organism in Eukaryota, Viridiplantae, Streptophyta, Magnoliopsida, Fagales, Betulaceae. The transcript is spliced from 4 exons. The record is from RefSeq and is a predicted model, not a curated record.
AAGCUAUGCGGAAAACAACGGAAACGCGUUCUGAUUUUAAGUGCACAGUAACUCCAAGGGAAACAAGUCCAGCGUUCGACUCCUGGGAACAAAUAAUUAGGGGCUUUUUUUUUUCUCUCCUUUUUUCCUCUUCCCUUUCUCAUUCAUUCCCAUCCUCGCUUGACGCUUCAUUCCCAAUCUCCUUCAAUUCCCUCAACAACCUACUCACCUUCAAAUUCAACAGUACUUCACUCAACAUCUUGCUCACCUGCCCAAUCCCCUUCAAUUUCUUAACUUGAAGCUUCCCAGCUAGGGUUUCGAUUUCACAUCCAAUUACUCGAUCGAAGAAGGGAACUGCGAUUUUUCUCUCUAACAGGGCCUAUUUUCCGUGCUCCAUGAAUGCCACCUUUCCAGUAAACUCCUCUGCUACCUGUAAUCUUGAACUGCCUUGCAGUUGAUGCACAUAGAAUCUUUUGCCUUCUGCUGGCAUCCUCCAACGUGGACAACUAGUCUGCUAAAGUAAAAAGGUUCCAGUUGUGGUUUGGGCCUCAGGAUAUAUCAUAACAGGCUCUUAGUAGUUAGUAUGCACAAUUUAGAAGGAAGACAUUAUGUACUUAUGAAAGUUCAAAAGACCAUUUUUGGCGUGAUGAUAAUCAGGUUUAAGAGAAGCAAGAAAGUGUAGGUCCAUGACACGCAGUUGAUGUAAUGGUCUCAUUUUUUGUACUAUUGUAUGGUAAACUUGGAGACCUCUGUUGUAUGAAUAUUGUGGUUAUAAAUUAUAAUUAGACUUUGAUGAUU